AACGCACAUUGCGCCCUUUGGUAUUCCGAAGGGCAUGCCUGUUCGAGCGUCAUUAUCAACCCUCAAGCCCGGCUUGUUAUUGGGUCUUAUCGUUAAAGAUAUACCCGAAAGAUAGUGACGGUGUCGCGAUAUCGACCCCAGAUGCAGCGAGCUUCUUAGCAUACAUCUGUUGAGGCGUCGGCCGGCCCGGUCUUAACCACAAACUUCUAAAGGUUGACCUCGGAUCAGGUAGGAAUACCCGCUGAACUUAA
This 251-nucleotide unclassified non-coding RNA is filed under the name Porotheleum sp. Its description in RNAcentral is "partial contains 5.8S ribosomal RNA, internal transcribed spacer 2, and large subunit ribosomal RNA". The stretch from base 1 to 52 matches the Rfam family "5.8S ribosomal RNA", at positions 103 to 154 of the family's 154-position model. The record is from RNAcentral. Lineage: Eukaryota; Fungi; Basidiomycota; Agaricomycetes; Agaricales; Porotheleaceae.